This 503-nucleotide unclassified non-coding RNA is filed under the name Anelosimus studiosus. Its description in RNAcentral is "partial contains 16S ribosomal RNA and tRNA-Leu (trnL)". The stretch from base 105 to 406 matches the Rfam family "Bacterial large subunit ribosomal RNA", at positions 2074 to 2646 of the family's 2925-position model. The record is from RNAcentral. Lineage: Eukaryota; Metazoa; Arthropoda; Arachnida; Araneae; Theridiidae.
UUUGUUUUUUAAUUAAAAACUAGAAUGAAAGGUUAUACAUUCAAAUUUCUUUAUUAAUUUUUAAUAAAUAAUUUAUAUUAAAUAUAAAAAUAUAUUUAUAAAAAAAAAAGACGACAAGACCCUAUUAAAUUUUACUUAUAGUUUAGCUGGGGAAGCUUUUCAAUUAAAAUUUUUUAAAAUCUUAAAAUAAAUAUCUAAUUAAAAUUAAAAUUUAAAUAAAUUACUAUAGGGAUAACAGCAUUAUAUUUUUUAAAAGUUCAUAUUAAAAAAAAAUGAUUGUGACCUCGAUGUUGAAUUAUAUUUUCUAUAUUUAAUGCAAUAAUUAUAAAAGUAGAUCUGUUCGAUCUUUAAAAUAUUACAUGAUUUGAGUUCAAACCGGUGUAAACCAGGUUGGUUUCUAUCUUUUUAUAUAUAUUUUUCCAGUACGAAAGGACAAAAAAAUUUUUAUUUUAAUAAAUUAGCAAAUAAAUGCAUUAGAUUUAGAAUCUAAAUAUAUUUAAAUU